Molecule: ribosomal RNA, 241 nt
Filed under: uncultured Actinomycetales bacterium
Lineage: Bacteria; Bacillati; Actinomycetota; Actinomycetes; Actinomycetales
Description: partial 16S ribosomal RNA
Rfam family: Bacterial small subunit ribosomal RNA
Source: RNAcentral
UACGUAGGGUGCAAGCGUUGUCCGGAAUUACUGGGCGUAAAGAGCUCGUAGGUGGUUUGUCACGUCGUCUGUGAAAUUCCACAGCUUAACUGUGGGCGUGCAGGCGAUACGGGCUGACUUGAGUACUGUAGGGGUAACUGGAAUUCCUGGUGUAGCGGUGAAAUGCGCAGAUAUCAGGAGGAACACCGAUGGCGAAGGCAGGUUACUGGGCAGUCACUGACGCUGAGGAGCGAAAGCAUGG